UAUGGGGGUCCAAAGCCUUACUGAUCUUCCUGAAACUCCGAAUACUUUAUGAUCGUAAAUCAAACAGACAGACUUAAAGUGCUAAGGUUUUAAGUCAAAAGGGAAACAGCCCAGACUGUCCGCUAAGGUCCCUAAACAUUUUGGAAGUGGAAAAAGCGUUUUAUAACGAAGACAGCUAGGAGAUUGGCUUGGAAGCAGCCAUUCUAUAAUGAAAGCGUAAUAGCUCACUAGUCGAGUUUAAAAGCACUGAGAAUGUAUCGGGGCUUCACAAAAUUACCCAAGCGACAGAUAUUAUUGGUAGCGGAGCGUUUUGUAGACCAUUGAAGAGGUUUUGUGAAAAACUUUGGAGGAUUCAAAAGUGAGAAUGCUGACAUGAGUAACGACAAAUCAUGUGACAAUCAUGAUCGCCGUAAGUUCAAGGGUUUCUGCGUUCUGUUUUUCAGCGCAGAGUGAGUCGGUCUCUAAGUGUGUUUUUGAGAAAAAACCACGAUGAAACAAAUGAAAGAUGACGAAAUGCUAAGUAGAAAUCAAGAGUGUAUUGGAUGGCUUUGUGGUUUCUAUCAUUUCCAGGAAAACUCUUCAUAAACUGUGACCGUACCCGAAACCGACACUGGUGAACGAGUCGAAUAGACUCAGGCGUGGAGCGAAUCAUAUUGAAGGAACUCGGCAAAUUUUUCCUGUACCUUUGGAAGAAAGGAAGCCAAUUUUGGUGACACAAAAAUGGGGGUGACGACUUUUUACUAAAAAAUUAGGACUCUGCAAAAUGGGAACAUGAUGUAUAGGGUCUGACGCCUGCCCGGUGCUUGAAGCUUAACCUGUAUACUGUUUUGGUAUAUUGAGAAGGCCUAGUAAACGGCGGUUGUAACUAUAACAAUCAUAAAGUAGCGAAAUUCAUUGUCAGCUAAUUCCUGACCUGCAUGAAAGGCGUAACGAUUGCCCCACUGUCUCCAGUAUGGACUCCGUGAAAUUGAACUCUCCGUGCAGAUGCGGAGAAUGUGCCCCAAGACGAGAAGACCCUAUGCAUCUUUACUGUACAUUUACACUGGAAAAAAGCUUGAAUUGUGUAGGAUAGGUGGGAGUUGUCAACACCCUUGAAAUACCACCCUUUUUAAGAGGAGUUCCUUAUUUGAAUAGUAUUCAAAAACACUGUAUAUGAGGCAGUUUGACUGGGGCGGUCGCCUCCUAAAGAGUAACGGAGGUGUGCG
This 1205-nucleotide ribosomal RNA is filed under the name marine metagenome. RNAcentral's name for it is "bacterial LSU rRNA". It matches the Rfam family "Bacterial large subunit ribosomal RNA", at positions 919 to 2312 of the family's 2925-position model. The record is from RNAcentral.